UAGGGAAUCUUCGGCAAUGGACGGAAGUCUGACCGAGCAACGCCGCGUGAGUGAAGAAGGUUUUCGGAUCGUAAAGCUCUGUUGUUAGAGAAGAACGUUGGUAGGAGUGGAAAAUCUACCAAGUGACGGUAACUAACCAGAAAGGGACGGCUAACUACGUGCCAGCAGCCGCGGUAAUACGUAGGUCCCGAGCGUUGUCCGGAUUUAUUGGGCGUAAAGCGAGCGCAGGCGGUUCGUUAAGUCUGAAGUUAAAGGCAGUGGCUUAACCAUUGUACGCUUUGGAAACUGGAGGACUUGAGUGCAGAAGGGGAGAGUGGAAUUCCAUGUGUAGCGGUGAAAUGCGUAGAUAUAUGGAGGAACACCGGUGGCGAAAGCGGCUCUCUGGUCUGUAACUGACGCGGAGGCUCGAAAGCGUGGGGAGCAAACAGG
Molecule: ribosomal RNA, 429 nt
Filed under: Bacillota bacterium
Lineage: Bacteria; Bacillati; Bacillota
Description: Firmicutes bacterium partial 16S ribosomal RNA
Rfam family: Bacterial small subunit ribosomal RNA
Source: RNAcentral